CCUUUCGGGGGUACUCGAGCGGCGAACGGGUGAGUAACACGUGAGUAAUCUGCCCUUGGCUUCGGGAUAGCCACCGGAAACGGUGAUUAAUACCGGAUACGACACAUCACUGCAUGGUGCGUGUGUGGAAAGUUUUUUCGGCCAGGGAUGUGCUCGCGGCCUAUCAGCUUGUUGGUGGGGUAAUGGCCUACCAAGGCUUCGACGGGUAGCCGGCCUGAGAGGGUGACCGGCCACACUGGGACUGAGACACGGCCCAGACUCCUACGGGAGGCAGCAGUGGGGAAUAUUGGACAAUGGGCGGAAGCCUGAUCCAGCAACGCCGCGUGAGGGAUGACGGCCUUCGGGUUGUAAACCUCUUUCAGCACAGACGAAGCGCAAGUGACGGUAUGUGCAGAAGAAGGACCGGCCAACUACGUGCCAGCAGCCGCGGUAAUACGUAGGGUCCGAGCGUUGUCCGGAAUUAUUGGGCGUAAAGGGCUCGUAGGCGGUUUGUCGCGUCGGGAGUGAAAACACCGGGCUUAACUCGGUGCUUGCUUUCGAUACGGGCAGACUAGAGGUAUUCAGGGGAGAACGGAAUUCCUGGUGUAGCGGUGAAAUGCGCAGAUAUCAGGAGGAACACCGGUGGCGAAGGCGGUUCUCUGGGAAUAUCCUGACGCUGAGGAGCGAAGUGUGGGGAGCGAA
RNAcentral lists this ribosomal RNA (681 nucleotides) under uncultured Actinomycetes bacterium. RNAcentral's name for it is "bacterial SSU rRNA". It matches the Rfam family "Bacterial small subunit ribosomal RNA", at positions 77 to 772 of the family's 1533-position model. Lineage: Bacteria; Bacillati; Actinomycetota; Actinomycetes. The record is from RNAcentral.